Molecule: ribosomal RNA, 437 nt
Filed under: Pseudoramibacter alactolyticus
Lineage: Bacteria; Bacillati; Bacillota; Clostridia; Eubacteriales; Eubacteriaceae
Description: bacterial SSU rRNA
Rfam family: Bacterial small subunit ribosomal RNA
Source: RNAcentral
GACGAACGCUGGCGGUAUGCUUAACACAUGCAAGUCGAACGAGAAGUCUUUUAUUGAACCUUCGGGGGAUAUAAGAGACAGACAGUGGCGAACGGGUGAGUAACGCGUGGGCAACCUACCUAUCGGAGCGGGAUAGCCUCGAGAAAUCGGGAGUAAAACCGCAUAACACGGAUAUAUCGCAUGAUGAAUCCGUCAAAACUCCGGUGCCGAUAGAUGGGCCCGCGUCUGAUUAGCUAGUUGGUAAGGUAAGGGCUUACCAAGGCAACGAUCAGUAGCCGGUCUGAGAGGGCGAACGGCCACACUGGAACUGAGACACGGUCCAGACUCCUACGGGAGGCAGCAGUGGGGAAUAUUGCGCAAUGGGGGCAACCCUGACGCAGCAAUACCGCGUGAGUGAAGAAGGUUUUCGGAUCGUAAAGCUCUGUUAUUGGGGAAGA